RNAcentral lists this small RNA (92 nucleotides) under Microcebus murinus (gray mouse lemur). Its description in RNAcentral is "Y RNA (ENSMICG00000044448.1)". The record is from RNAcentral. Lineage: Eukaryota; Metazoa; Chordata; Mammalia; Primates; Cheirogaleidae.
CACCAUCUAGAAGGGAGUGGGGUCAGUUACAGAUUGAACUCCUUGUUCUACUACUUUCCCCCCUCCUCACUACUGCACUUGGCUAGUCUUAA